UACGAAGGGGGCUAGCGUUGCUCGGAAUCACUGGGCGUAAAGCGCACGUAGGCGGACUCUUAAGUCGGUGGUGAAAUCCUGGAGCUCAACUCCAGAACUGCCUUCGAUACUGGGCGUCUCGAGUCCGGGAGAGGUGAGUGGAACUGCGAGUGUAGAGGUGAAAUUCGUAGAUAUUCGCAAGAACACCAGUGGCGAAGGCGGCUCACUGGCCCGGUACUGACGCUGAGGUGCGAAAGCGUGGGGAGCAAACAGG
This 253-nucleotide ribosomal RNA is filed under the name uncultured bacterium. Its description in RNAcentral is "partial 16S ribosomal RNA". It matches the Rfam family "Bacterial small subunit ribosomal RNA", at positions 524 to 776 of the family's 1533-position model. The record is from RNAcentral.